This 406-nucleotide ribosomal RNA is filed under the name uncultured bacterium. RNAcentral's name for it is "partial 16S ribosomal RNA". It matches the Rfam family "Bacterial small subunit ribosomal RNA", at positions 30 to 526 of the family's 1533-position model. The record is from RNAcentral.
AUUGAACGCUGGCGGCAGGCCUCACACAUGCAAGUCGAACGAGUGGCGGACUGGUGAGUCAUGUCUGGGAAACUGCCUGAUGGAGGGGGCUAACUACUGGAAACGGUAGCUAAUACCGCAUACCAUUGGAUGAGCCCAGAUGGGAUUAGCUAGUUGGUGGGGUAACGGCUCACUUAGGCGACGAUCCCUAGCUGGUCUGAGAGGAUGACCAGGCACACUGGAACUGAGACACGGUCCAUACUCCUACGUGAGGCAGCAGUGGGGAAUAUUGCACAAUGGGCGCAAGCCUGAUGCAUCCAUGCCGCGUGUAUGAAGAAGGCCUUCGGGUUGUAAAGUACUUUCAGCGGGGAGGCGUUACCCGCAGAAGAAGCACAGGCUAACUCCGGGCCAGCAGCCGCGGUAAUAC